Molecule: transfer RNA, 75 nt
Filed under: Stylonychia lemnae
Lineage: Eukaryota; Ciliophora; Spirotrichea; Sporadotrichida; Oxytrichidae
Description: tRNA-Leu
Rfam family: tRNA
About the family: Transfer RNA (tRNA) molecules are approximately 80 nucleotides in length. Their secondary structure includes four short double-helical elements and three loops (D, anti-codon, and T loops).
Source: RNAcentral
AGGGGUGUAGUUUAAUUGAAAAAAAACAAUGGACUUAAAAUUCAUCAUAUGUGGGUUUGAGUCCCACCUCCCCUA